Molecule: long non-coding RNA, 641 nt
Filed under: Ictidomys tridecemlineatus (thirteen-lined ground squirrel)
Lineage: Eukaryota; Metazoa; Chordata; Mammalia; Rodentia; Sciuridae
Description: lncRNA (ENSSTOG00000031157.1)
Source: RNAcentral
GAAAAUGUUGAUAGGAACCCCCAGCUAUGGAAGGCCUGCUGUACAAAAAUUGUGUUACUAUAAAACCAUGGGAAUUUAUUUGACUGGACGUCUACAGAAGACCAGACCCAGACCAGGAAGGGGCGUGACUUGCUGCCCAGGAACACACAGUGGGCUUCCAGGAAUAAGUCAAGGUCUUCUUCCCCACUGGUCCAGUGCUUGAACAGCAAUAUUAGCUUCAUCUGCAGGCCUACACCUCCCUAGGCUGCUCUAACACAUCGCUAAUCCAAGGACCCCAAGACCUAGCAGUUCAUCAGAAAUCUCCCAAGAUGCUUGUUAGCAAAUGUAAACUCCUGUGUCCUACAUCACCACCUAGAUCCUGACGUCGUUCGUCUGACUUUGCACUGGGGGUCUGUGUAUUUACCAAGAACUUUGGUUACCGUGAUGCAGCUGGUCCAUGGGACCACGUACAAAGUUCCUUCACUCUUCUGCAGUGCCAAUGCAUUAAAAAUAUACAAGAAAUAGGGUGUGCAUUGUGUGUGUAGUUUCUUGAUUCCUCUCAUGAGGUACACUUAUUCAUUCAUUUGUUCAACACUUACACUGCACACCAGCUCUUGGUAUUUGGCUAUGCUUACUCCCCACUGCUGUAUUCUCAGUGUUUC